CUCGAGUGGCGAACGGGUGAGUAACACGUGGGUGAUCUGCCCUGCACUUCGGGAUAAGCCUGGGAAACUGGGUCUAAUACCGGAUAGGAGCCAUUUUUAGUGUGAUGGUUGGAAAGUUUUUUCGGUGUAGGAUGAGCUCGCGGCCUAUCAGCUUGUUGGUGGGGUAAUGGCCUACCAAGGCGGCGACGGGUAGCCGGCCUGAGAGGGUGGACGGCCACAUUGGGACUGAGAUACGGCCCAGACUCCUACGGGAGGCAGCAGUGGGGAAUAUUGCACAAUGGGCGCAAGCCUGAUGCAGCGACGCCGCGUGGGGGAUGACGGCCUUCGGGUUGUAAACUCCUUUCGCUAGGGACGAAGCUUUUUGUGACGGUACCUAGUUAAGAAGCACCGGCUAACUACGUGCCAGCAGCCGCGGUAAUACGUAGGGUGCGAGCGUUGUCCGGAAUUACUGGGCGUAAAGGGCUCGUAGGUGGUUUGUCGCGUCGUCUGUGAAAUUCCGGGGCUUAACUCCGGGCGUGCAGGCGAUACGGGCAUAACUUGAGUACUGUAGGGGUAACUGGAAUUCCUGGUGUAGCGGUGAAAUGCGCAGAUAUCAGGAGGAACACCGA
This 608-nucleotide ribosomal RNA is filed under the name uncultured Actinomycetes bacterium. RNAcentral's name for it is "bacterial SSU rRNA". It matches the Rfam family "Bacterial small subunit ribosomal RNA", at positions 90 to 712 of the family's 1533-position model. The record is from RNAcentral. Lineage: Bacteria; Bacillati; Actinomycetota; Actinomycetes.